AAAGACAAAUAAGUCAAUGGGACCUGAUGGAAUACACCCAAAGCUAUUAAAAGAGCUUAGUGGUGUACUAGCAAAACCAUUAACAGAUUUAUUUAACCAAUCAUUGUUAACAGGAGUAGUCCCAGAAGAUUGGAAGUUAGCGAAUGUUGUGCCCAUUUACAAGAAAGGUAAUAGGGAGGAGUGGGCAACUAUAGGCCAGUAAGCCUUACUUCAGUAGUGGGGAAAGUGAUGGAAACCAUGUUAAAGGAUAGGAUUGAUGAACAUCUAAAAACACAUGGAUUUCAAGAUCAGAGACAACAUGGGUUUACUUCAGGGAGAUCAUGCCAAACUAAUCUUAUUGAUUUUUUUGAUUGGGUAACUAAAAU
This is a non-coding RNA of Pelobates cultripes (western spadefoot toad), 365 nucleotides long. The record is from the annotation of a GenBank genome assembly. NCBI's taxonomy places the organism in Eukaryota, Metazoa, Chordata, Amphibia, Anura, Pelobatidae.